GACAGCAGCCAUAUCACCCUACAACCCACAACUGGUAGUCCUCUGGAGCUCAGCAGGUGUGAGCCUGGUCAGUAUCUGGAUGGGAGACCUGCUGGGAAAAACAUUGGUUGCUGCUGGAA
This 119-nucleotide ribosomal RNA is filed under the name Lepisosteus oculatus (spotted gar). Lineage: Eukaryota; Metazoa; Chordata; Actinopteri; Semionotiformes; Lepisosteidae. The record is from RNAcentral.